AUUACUUUAAGAUGCAGAAGAACCCACCACCAAUCCAUCUUACUUUAACCCUCCACCGAUUGAUUCGCUCUCUAGAAUCUUGGCUUUUUCCAUUAUCUAUCGAUUCCUCUCCAACUAACCCUUCCUACCUCCUCUUCCACAACCCUUUCGAUUUCCCUUGGUUGACUAAAGAUCCACAAUCACUUGAGGUAAGUUCCUUCAACCAUAUUUCUGUUAACAUCCACUAAUCCAUAUUUCUAUGUGUUUCUUUGUUACAGUUUCUUUUCGCCCUUCCUCUCUUCCAAUGGCUUCGCCGCUUCAGCUUCGAUCAGACCAGGGCCACAUAAGCUAUCAUUGGUUUCUUCAUUUCAUCAUCGGCCAACAUAAAAAAAAAUAUGCGUCCAUUUCGGUUUGUCGCUUGCUUUCUGAAGUGUGAGACACGAUUUUAGGUUCAACAAACAUUCACCGCUACUGCUUCUUUCGUCUUUGGUUUUCACAGUUUCAUACUUUUGGGUUUCUGCUUCUUUGAAAACCGAGGGCUUACUUAAUUUGACGAACUAAUUUAUUGCAGAAGCUAAACCUGUAUUCUUUCUUUCAGUGGGCGAUAUUUAUGCAACUUGGUAAUUCUUUCUUUCAUCUUUUACUCAAUUGAAGUAUUAGGCUCUUGCUUUAAGUUAUCAUCUUUGUUACUUAGAUGUGUGUCCCAUGUCAAUUUAUGAGUAAUACUAUUAAUGAAGUUAUAUAACGAUGGGAGACACACUCCAAGUAGUUAAAAUUCAUACCGAAAAGUAUCCUGAAAUUGCAAACAGGUACAGAAUUCAAGCUUUACUUAAUUAUUAUCAGUCCCAACUGAGACUAAUUUUUCAUUCCUUUUUAACUUAUUUUUGUUUUUUCCUUCAUUCUAAUACAUUAGUAUUAAUGAUGAAUUUGACUAAUUUGUUAACUUAUUAAUGGGUGUGUCAAGCACAAAACCUCAGAUAUUUAGUUGGUAAAUUGAAGUUACAUAUUAGAAAAUUAGCAUUGGGAAGAAUUUAGUCCAUUUUUCAUGUUCUGUCGCCUGUAGCAAAGAAGGUUAAUAGAUCAUGCAGGUAAAAGUGAAGGUUACUAAUUGUAUAUGGCCCACAUAAGCUUUCGGUAGGGUUGAGUUUUGGGUUUAUGAUGUGGUUUCAGGUGUACAAAUGUUUAACCAGCCAGGUACUCUCGAUUUACUUUCUCAGCUUUGUUUUGCUUUCGUAGUUUAGAAUUUUUUACCAAUCUUCUUCCUCAUGUUUGAAACUUAUGUUGUGUUGCUCAUCACAGCUUCGUUUGCCCUAAUUACCAGCUUUUAUUCCCCCCUUAGUUCAUAACCAAAUUUAUAUGAACUCCCUCAAAUCUAUUUUGUUGUAGUCAACUUCAACCUUCCAACAACCCAAAAUUUAUGUGUUUAACAAAAGUUCGAUCAGACCAGGCCCACAUAGAUGAGAAGGAAAUACUCUUGGAGAAAUUGCUGGUGAGAAAGUUGGUAUCUUUAAGGUGCUUCUUCACAUGACAAUUCACAUGCCCUUCUAAAUAUGUGAUUUUGAUAAGAUCAAAACACAUGUCAUUUGUACUUUUUUUGUAGAAAGGUGUUCCAACAUUUACUUUAAAGAAAAAGCCUCCCAAUUAGAUAUAAUUUACAAUUCUAUAACAUUUUUAAAUCCCAGAAUAUCACAAAAUAUUCAUAUUACACUUCAAUUUAAAUUACACUGUGACAGGUAAAUCUUGAAGUGGCAAACAUGUUGGAUAGUAAAUUGCUAAAUGGAUUACAUUUAGGGCUUGUAGGGGAUCACCAAUAUAUAAAUGCAGGGCUAGCCAUUAUGUUAAGCUCCACAUGGCUCCAAAGGACAGGUAAUUUGGAACUUGAGACUGUAAGUUUAUGUUAAAAAUGAAACAUUUGUCAGCAUAUGUUUAUUAAAUCUUUCAAAAAGAAAAUUUUCCAUUUUUUUUGUGGUUGGAUACAUAAUUAUUUGUCUGAGAGAUUCAUCAAGGGACUAACAAGUGCAAAAUUACAAGGAAGAGCUCAGAUUAUUCUUGACAAUGUAUGUGAAGGUGAUGUAGUGUUUUAUUUAGAUGGAGCACAUAGUCCUGAAAGCAUGGAAGUCUGUGCAAAUUGGUUUUCCAUAACAAUUGGUGGUGACAACUCCAGGGAGGACUCUGCAUAGAUAUUAUUGUUCAAUUGUAUGUCGGUGAGGGACCUACAAGAUGUAUCCAAAAGGCCAAGCUAGAGGGAGGCAUAGGUUACAUCUCAAACAGAUCAUACAAGCUGAAAAUUACCAAAACUAUCUUCCAUAAUAGCAGAUGGUUUGUAUAAUUUUUUUUUAUGUUAUAAUGAUGCAAGCCAAAAUCCCUUAGUCUAUAACUAUCUUAAAUCAUUGCACUUUCAAUUUGAACAUAAAAACAUUGUAAUUUGGGUUGGAUUUCAAGUGAUUUCAGCUUAUAAGUCA
Lactuca sativa (garden lettuce) is the source of this 2441-nucleotide long non-coding RNA. RefSeq lists it as uncharacterized. NCBI's taxonomy places the organism in Eukaryota, Viridiplantae, Streptophyta, Magnoliopsida, Asterales, Asteraceae. The record is from RefSeq and is a predicted model, not a curated record.